AAGAGAGGCGGUGAGAGAGAUGU
RNAcentral lists this non-coding RNA (23 nucleotides) under Arabidopsis thaliana (thale cress). Lineage: Eukaryota; Viridiplantae; Streptophyta; Magnoliopsida; Brassicales; Brassicaceae. The record is from RNAcentral.